RNAcentral lists this ribosomal RNA (1271 nucleotides) under metagenome. Its description in RNAcentral is "bacterial LSU rRNA". It matches the Rfam family "Bacterial large subunit ribosomal RNA", at positions 1633 to 2925 of the family's 2925-position model. The record is from RNAcentral.
UGAUAGAGCCCGUACCGCAAACCGACACAGGUAGAUAGGAAGAAGAUUCUAAGGCCAACGGGAGAAGGGUUGUUAAGGAACUCGGCAAGUUGACCCCGUAACUUAGGGAGAAGGGGUGCUCUUUAAGGAGAGCCGCAGAGAAUAGGCCCAAGCGACUGUUUAGCAAAAACACAGCUCUAUGCUAAAUCGAAAGAUGACGUAUAUGGGGUGACACCUGCCCGGUGCCGGAAGGUUAAGAGGAGGAGUGAGAGCUCUGAAUUGAAGCCCCGGUAAACGGCGGCCGUAACAAUAACGGUCCUAAGGUAGCGAAAUUCCUUGUCAGGUAAGUUCUGACCCGCACGAAUGGUGUAACGAUUUGGGCACUGUCUCAACAACCUGCCCGGCGAAAUUGUAGUACCGGUGAAGAUGCCGGUUACCCGCGACUAGACGGAAAGACCCCAUGGAGCUUUACUGCAGCUUAAUAUUGAAUUUCGGUAUUUCAUGUACAGGAUAGGUGGGAGACAGGGAACCAUAGGCGUCAGCUUAUGGGGAGUCGACCUUGGGAUACCACUCUUGAGGUGCUGGAAUUCUAACCUGUGGCUCUGAAUCGAGUCAGGGGACAUUGUUAGGCGGGCAGUUUGACUGGGGCGGUCGCCUCCAAAAAGGUAACGGAGGCGCUCAAAGGUUCGCUCAGCAUGGAUGGAAACCAUGCUUUUGAGUGUAAACGCAAAAGCGAGCCUAACUGCGAGACUGACGGGUCGAGCAGUAACGAAAGUUGGAGUUAGUGAUCCGGCGGUAUGUGAGUGGAAAUGCCGUCGCUCAACGGAUAAAAGCUACCCUGGGGAUAACAGGCUGAUCUCCCCCAAGAGUCCACAUCGACGGGGAGGUUUGGCACCUCGAUGUCGGCUCAUCGCAUCCUGGGGCUGAAUUCGGUCCCAAGGGUUUGGCUGUUCGCCAAUUAAAGCGGUACGCGAGCUGGGUUCAGAACGUCGUGAGACAGUUCGGUCCCUAUCUGUCGUGGGCGUAGGAUAUUUGAAAGGAGCUGUCCCUAGUACGAGAGGACCGGGAUGGACGCACCGCUGGUGCACCAGUUGUCAUGCCAAUGGCACAGCUGGGCAGCUAUGUGCGGAACGGAUAAACGCUGAAGGCAUCUAAGCGUGAAGCCGACCUUAAGAUAAGAUAUCCCUUCGUAAGAGUAAGACCUCUCAUAGACUAUGAGUUUGAUAGGCCUAAGGUGUAAGCACAGUGAUGUGUUCAGCCUGCAGGUACUAAUCGGUCGAGGGCUUUUCCAA